This 474-nucleotide ribosomal RNA is filed under the name uncultured bacterium. RNAcentral describes it as "bacterial SSU rRNA". It matches the Rfam family "Bacterial small subunit ribosomal RNA", at positions 335 to 799 of the family's 1533-position model. The record is from RNAcentral.
ACUCCUACGGGAGGCAGCAGUGGGGAAUAUUGCACAAUGGGCGCAAGCCUGAUGCAGCCAUGCCGCGUGUGUGAAGAAGGCCUUCGGGUUGUAAAGCACUUUUCAGUAGGGAGGAAGGUAGUGUAGUUAACACCUGCAUUAUUUGACGUUACCUACAGAAGAAGCACCGGCUAACUCCGUGCCAGCAGCCGCGGUAAUACGGAGGGUGCGAGCGUUAAUCGGAAUUACUGGGCGUAAAGCGCAUGCAGGCGGUUUGUUAAGUCAGAUGUGAAAGCCCGGGGCUCAACCUCGGAAUUGCAUUUGAAACUGGCAGACUAGAGUACUGUAGAGGGGGGUAGAAUUUCAGGUGUAGCGGUGAAAUGCGUAGAGAUCUGAAGGAAUACCGGUGGCGAAGGCGGCCCCCUGGACAGAUACUGACACUCAGAUGCGAAAGCGUGGGGAGCAAACAGGAUUAGAUACCCUGGUAGGAUAGCG